This 76-nucleotide transfer RNA is filed under the name Lethrinus laticaudis (grass emperor). RNAcentral describes it as "tRNA-Leu". The record is from RNAcentral. Lineage: Eukaryota; Metazoa; Chordata; Actinopteri; Spariformes; Lethrinidae.
UUGUUAAGGAGAGGACUUGAACCUCUGUGUAAAGGGUUUAGGGCUUUUGCAGUUUCCGGGCUCUGCCACCUUAACA